UAAUUAGGGGCUAGGGCAACACAGAACACGCAUCGCAUUCACUGCCUCGUGCCUCCUUCAGCAGCUCAGCGCCUCAGUCCUCAGCCAUUGAGGCUCACCCCCACACCCCAAGUCCCCACUCCGGCACUCCCCACGCCCCACUCCGGCUCUGGCAGUCGCCACUCCCCACGGCGCAGGCCGAUCCGGUGACCCUGACCUCAUUUUCUCUCCCCACGGCCCACUCCGAGUCUCGCGGCAUGCACCACGCAGUCGCCGACUCCUCCCUUUCUCAUCUCUUCACAACCCUCCGUGUUUCACCCCAGUCACCGCCGAAGCUCUUCGUUCGACGGACGACAGUGACGACGUACGGUGCUGCCCUGCUUCUCGGCGACGUUGCUCUGCUCUGUUCUGCUAGUCCUGCUCCCUCUGCUCUGCUCUCUUCUCCGGUCUUCUUUUCAGGUCUUCUGCUCAGGUGCAUUGGACCAUAACAUUUAUCAGAGCGAAGGUUCACCUGCACCAGAAGAUCCAGAUACAGCCAAGAAAGUAAAAUUGCUGAAUAAGAGUAUGAAGCAAAGCUUGGUUUAAGGUGUUUUUUGUCUCUUUCAUUUGAUGAAGAUCUUGGGAUGUCUGAGAAAAAAGACGAUGACCCGAAAUUUAGAAACAAGAAAUAUAAGAAGAGAAUAAACAUGGAGGCAUCAAAUCAGUUCCAGAUAAUGACAAAAAGUGAAGUAAGCAUGAAUUGAUCUCUAACACAAAAUUGGAGGUUGAAGCUAACUACAAGGUUGCAUUGUUUGCCCUAGAUGGUAUGAAGAGGAGACAAAUGCAAUCUGAAACACUCUCUGCCGUGUUUGACACGUAUUUUCUCGUUUAAUUACUAUGAUUACUUAUUAUGGUAGGUUGUCUCCGUGAUGCUUAGUUCUUUGAUAUCAUAAUCCCGUGUUUAUGGCUUGCCAUGGUAUUUACUCUUUCUUAUUUUCGUUCAAUUUUGUGUUUCAACGGAAAUCAAUUUGGUAUUUAGGGUUCUGUUCAACAGAUUUUUUGUCCCAAUUCUUGGGGGAAUAGAAAUCUUUUGUAUUUGUUCUCGAUUAAUUACUAUGAUUACUUAUUAUGGUAGGUUGUCAUUGUGAUGUUUAGUUCUUUGAUUUUCAUGUCAUUUGUAUCUUCUUUUUGUUUUCUUGAAUACGGUGCACCAUGUGGUCGGUAUGCUCAAUGCUGGCUUUGGUCAUCAUGAGGCGAUUCUUCCUUCUUUAUGUUUUCAAGGCAAGGGAUUUCUACCGACUAGAUUGAAUAGACAUUAUUUCUAUUUAGUUUAGUUUCUGAGUUGUGAAUGAAUUGCUUCCUCAUUUCUUAUAGAAUAUUUAUUUUCAUAUCCUCUUUGAUAAGAUAGUUUCCUAGAAGUUUCAUAUAUCAGUCAACCUUUCUUUCUUGUUUGCAUGUUUUUUGCGCAUUACUUUUUAUCAACUCUUAGGAUUUUCUUUUACAUGGUUAACUUUUAUUUACUGAGAUCUUUUGGGCAUGUUUUAGCUUACUUUUAUUGGAUCUUCUUCUCUUUUCCUUCCCUUCUUACCCUUUCUUCAUCCAAUUUCGCGACCAUUGGUGCAAAACCUUGCGGUUCCAAUGCUUUAUCUUCAACCUUUUUCCAAAGUUACUUUAGGGAAAUACUAGAUCUUGAUUGCGAGCCACUUCGCGCAUUCACCUUGUGUUCAACUGCUCGAUGUCACCACCGCCAGAGCCAAUCACGAGGAGCAUGGGCAACCCGACGCGGUAACGAAGCUGGUGGAGUUUCCAAGGCAUCAGGGAGUUUACUCUGUCAGCUCCACCAUCUCUUGUCUCUCCCGUUGAUUGGGUCAUUCAAGAGUUUUUUAUUUUGCUUAACUUUCAAUUUUAUGAUGUCUUGCAUAAUUUUUGAAAAGUGUGUUUCAUUUUUACCAGGUUGAGACCAGAACUCUCGAGGAUGAAAAUUCAAGAGUUUUUAAUUUUGCUUAACUUUCAAUUUUAUGAUGUCUUGCAUAACUUUUGAAAAGCUUGUUUCAUUUUUACCAGAUUGAGACCAGAACUCUUGAGGAAGUUAAAGAAGUAUUACAUUAUGCUUCCCAAACAAACACUUUGUCCCAGAUAAUGUUGGGUAAUAUGGUUUUAUCUCUACCUAAUGGGAUGUGGAUAUAUCAAUGCUGAAAGAAGCUGCGCAGGUAGUCCAUGAAAAAUUUGAGACUGAGGUAUUCAUGACUAAAUUUGUUUUUAGUUCAAUCGUGCCAUAUUUAUUGAAUUAUUUUUCAACUAAAUGGUUUAGAAUAUUUGCUGCUGAUUUGAUAUUGUAUGUUUCAAUGGUUUACUUGUUCUGUUUGAUAAACUAGCAUAUCUUCUCAAUCAUUUAAUCUUUUAAAGAGGUGGAUGGAAAAUUGUCAAGCAGAGUGUAAUGUUUGCAAAGUUUUAGGUAAAAUGUUCUACGUGCUAUUUAACAAUUCCUUUAUUCGUACUCUUGGAUCAAACAUGAAGCUAAUUAUUAGUACUCUCUUUUUUCUUUCAUUUCAUUUUGACUUGACAUAAUAUGAUACUACUAAUGUUGCUUGCAAUUUCCAUUAAUUCAUCAUCUAAGAAGCUCUUGUCGUCCUUCUAUUCAGUAUCAUAGAGUGACAUGGGAUGUGAAAGUUUGGUAAAACAAUACCUUUAUGAGUUGUUUAAUUGUGCAAGCUGCUACUGUUGAUAUUCAUCUUUUCUAAUUUGGGCGUUUGUGCUUAUUUCUUGAACUGGGUUGCUACAUCAUUCAAUUAUUGGAUACAUUGAACUAAAUUUUUACUAAUUCAGUGUAUGCUUUUCACUUUAGCUUUUUCCCUUUUUUACCGUUUUUAUUUCAUGGGUGGGGGUAAUUUGUCGUUAUCUUUUCAUGGUAUUUAUUAAAAUAUGUUUUUUUUCUUAAAUGCUUUUUAUGGGGUUUAGCUUUUUUAGAUCUAGUGUGUGGACUAUGGUAGGUGUGUGGUUCUGCUUGAUUGCUUCUGAUUUUGACAAUAAUUUUUUGUUAUCUUGUGGGGUUAGCUUUUCUUCUUUUUUUUUUCCCUUGUUUUUGUGUAACUUGAUUUUGCAGGGUUAGAUUUUGUUUUAUUUAUUUAUUUUUGAUGUCUUCAUCGUGUACUUAAUUUCUCUCUCUCUAAAUUCAUAUUAGCUAUGAUGAUUCAAUGUUAUAUCUGUAUUGGAACCAGAGCUUGACCCAUUUUUAUCAGAAUCUACAAGAAGCUGAUGGUAUUAUCCUAUUUUGUGGUAAUUUGGGCAUUGAUCUUCCAUCAGAGAAGGUUAGUUUUGUUUUUGAAGUUCAUUUUGCUGUUUGAAGGAUUCAUAGUGUAGGUGUAAAUAGCUAUCUAUGUAGUCCAGUGGAUAAUGUAUUUGAUACUUGAUUAAAUUAAUCAAAUGGAUGCUUCCAUAUGUUUUAAGCAAGGUUUAAAAUAGUGGAUGAAAUGUUGCUCAUAAAUUUUAAUUCCCUAAAGAUUAAAUGUUUCAUUUUUAUUUUUAAUUUUAUUUAAUAAUGACAGUGAUAUCUUUGUUGGGUUAAUUUGGAGAAAUUUGGGUUUUGUCAUUAUUUCGAAUCAAAAGAACAAGAGCACUAUUUUUCACACUACUUGUGCUUCUUUGCCAUUAAGGUUGGUCGAAGAUUCUAGAAAAAAGUCUUUUAUGUUUUUACUACCAUUUCAACACUCUUCAUCCUCUUCCUUCUACUGCUGAGAACUUUAGGGCUCUCUCUGCAUUAGCAACAAAGGCAUUGCUCUUAAUACUCAUGUGGCCCUUCAUUUCAAGGUCUUUACUUUUUUAUCCUUCUUUCUAUUUUCACAGAAACUAUAAAGAUAAUAACUUUGGCCUUUAACAACAUGUAAAGAGGGUUUGUGCAACUAUGAAAAUUAUCUAGCUGUUUUAAUUUGUGAUGCUUUCUUUGCUUUUGCGGUUAUAAAAAGGAUUUAAGUUGAAGGUUCCCCUUUUUCCUCUUGUUUUGGAGACGGGAGAUCGAAAAAGAUGAUUGUGCCCUUGACUAUGUGCAUAUACUACUAUUUGCUAUCUAAUUUUAAUUUUGAGGUGGUUUAUGAUCUUAAUGAUGAAUGCGAGAGGGCUUUGCCAGAAAACAUGUUCUUUGAUGGAGAAUAAGAUAACUAUCAUACACUACUACUAAGCUAUAUAUUGACGGAAAAAGAUUUCCACAACAUAGUAUGCGUAUCACAUUAUUAUCUUAUAGUCAUGUAUGCUUUUUCAAUUAUAACUUAUGCUUUAUGAUGAUUAUUUAUUUUAUAUCAGGAUAUGAUUAGGGAGUUAUUAUUGUAUACAUUUUGCUUUGCUCAUAAUAAUACAAAUGAGACAGACUAUUUCCUGUUGUUACUUCCUUCCUAAUUUUGUUUUGGGUCAAUUUUUGGACAUCACGAGACUGAUCGCAUCUGGUUGUCUGUUGUGACCUUUUCAAAUUUUUGUUUCUGAAUAAAAUGCUUAAUUUAUUGUAUACAUCAUGGUUGUUUAAACCUUGUUGCUUUUUAAGGGUGAAAGUUAUUUUGGUUUUGUUUGGGUCACUUUGAAUUAUAUGAAUAACAAAUCAAGAUUUUAAUCCUAAAUUUGUCUCAUGUAUUUUUACUAGAUUACAUUUCUUUCACACAUUGCUAUGGAAUUUGAUUUUUUAUUUUGUUCACUUGGAAACAAAAAUUCACUUAUCAUUGUUGUUCAUCACAUAUGGCAACACUUUGGCUAUAGAUGAUAUUUUGCAGAAUGAAGGUGAUGUUUGGGCUUCCACUCUUUUGUGUUUUGUUGAUUAUCCAUUGGAAGAUUCAAGAACUAUUGGAAGCUUCUUGGGAUGCUUUUGGCUUGAGAUGCACAGUUGAUUUUCUUGGGUUGUUUUACACGAUACAACUUGGUUGGUUGGUGGUAACAAAGUACCGAAAGAAAGACACACUGUUAAAAUGAAAUUGAAGGUGGCUCAGAAUGGAAGAAUUUUAAAAUUAGUGGAUCUUCACUUCAAUUGUGAUAUGAUAUGAUCAACGAAGGAGUUAGAAGGCAAAAAAAGAAGGAAAAAGGAGAACAAUAUUCAUGAUUAAUUUGGUGAGUUAAAUUGGGUUGGGGUGAUGGCGAAGUCUGGGUUGGACAUCUAAGUAGCAGAUGGCACUGCCCCGACGGAGCAGAAAGAGUGGUAGAACGCCGCCGAAGUAGAGGCGUAGAUCAGACCCUGGUCGAGUUCAGGUACACCAGACGGGAGGCAAUGGACGACAUGGGGCAACCGUCGACGCAGGCACUGCAGUGGAGAAGUCAGAGGAGCAGCUCCGCAAUGAGAUCGAUGAGCUUCUCCGCCAACAGCGCGAGAUUACGGAGCAGCUUCAUGAUCCUCGAGGCCUUCGAAGGGGUCACUUCUCAGCUCCUCGCCGACAACCCUUUCCUCCCCAAUGCCAAAACUAAUCUGAUGGUGGCAAGCUUGACAACAGGGGUCCCUUCUUUGUCAAUGGACUUCCUUUUGGAGCCAUAGACGCAAUAAAAGCUGCAUACGGAGCUACUGUACAAAUUAAAGAUCCUCCAAGGGAUGGGUUUAACCUAACAUUGAAAAUAAAUCUGUCAAGGCUUCCUGCAAAUCAAGAUCAAAGGCAAUCCUUUUUGGUGAAAAUUGCAUCAGUGAGGGAGGUUGUCCUUGGUGCACCAUUGAGAGUAAUUUUAAAACAUCUUGCUUCAAGAACUGUUGCUCCAGACAUUGAUCCGCUUGUCGCCCUUGUGCAUCGGCCAAGGGAGUUGUUUUUUCUUGUUCCAAUGGGGUGUCUGGAGUGAAGGGUCGUUUGGUGAAGAUGGAGAUCAGGGCAUUGACGUGCGUAGAAGAAAAAGAAGAAGUGGGUGCUUGAGAAACUGAACGAGUGGUGGAAGUUGAAAGUCAUAACCUUUUGGAGAAUAAGAGAUGACAGAGCACAGGAAUUCGGUUUGAGGAUUCGCACUGCCAUGAGAGAGAGAGAGAGAAAAAAUGCUCGUAAUAUUAGUCCAAUAGUUUAGAAGUUCCUUUUCCCUAUGAAUUUGUCUAUUUUUAAGCUUCCUUGAGAUUAAGAUACUAUAGCAUGGCCUUUGUUCAUGUCCUAUAAGAUCUUUAUUUUAAAUAUUUGGGUUUUUCUCUUUUGGAACAAUGAUCACUGAAUACUUCAAUUACCUU
Arachis duranensis is the source of this 6124-nucleotide long non-coding RNA. RefSeq lists it as uncharacterized. The record is from RefSeq and is a predicted model, not a curated record. NCBI's taxonomy places the organism in Eukaryota, Viridiplantae, Streptophyta, Magnoliopsida, Fabales, Fabaceae. The transcript has 12 exons.